GAGGCGAACGGGGCCGGGGCCGGGCCCCGGGAGAGUCGCUGGGCCGCGGGGAGCGGCGCCGCACGGCGGGGCGGAGCGGGGUGGACAGGCAGCGGCACCGGCCGUGUCAGACCCGGCCGAACCGGCUGCGGGGAGAGGGACAGCGAGUGGCGGGAGGUUUGGCUGCAGAGGUUGACGGAAAUACUUGCUGCUCUCCCACGAGGAACAUAAGAAGCAGUUUCAUCAUCCUUCCUCUGACCCCUUGAUUGGAGCCUGGAGGAUGGAAGACAAGAUGAAAACAAUGUACUUUGUGGAGAGUCCUGUCCAAAUGUGGAUUGCCCAUAUUUGACCAUAAAAACAGAAAUCAGGUAAGUAGUGCUUGAUCAUCCAACAGUUUAGUAAAUGCAACUGAAUAAGCCAACUGUUUUCUGAAAAUACCUUUUCCUGGCACUGUGUUAGGUGAAUUUCUUGGCUCCUAAGAAAUCCAUUUAUUCUUCCUUAUUUCUUUGGAGUGUUGCUUAUUUACCAGCUCACUGUGGUUUGCAAAAGUGGCUGUAUUUCCUUUGACACAGGAAAUUGUGACAAAAGCAAACUCCAAAGUUGACUCUAAAGACAAAGACCAACAGCACUUUGAACUCGUGCAAGUGCUUUGAGUGGUUCUCACUCAGAACACUUCUCAUGAGGAAUUAGAACAUUUUCAUGAAUACUGUAUUUAGGGUUUACGGUUAAAAAUGACAAACAUGGGCUUUAAUCCACAUAGACAUUCGUAAGAACUGAGAGUGAAAAGUCGUAUGUAGUGUCUGUGUGUG
Long non-coding RNA from Columba livia (rock pigeon), 788 nucleotides. RefSeq lists it as uncharacterized. The transcript has 3 exons. The record is from RefSeq and is a predicted model, not a curated record. Lineage: Eukaryota; Metazoa; Chordata; Aves; Columbiformes; Columbidae.